Molecule: ribosomal RNA, 373 nt
Filed under: uncultured Syntrophobacteraceae bacterium
Lineage: Bacteria; Pseudomonadati; Thermodesulfobacteriota; Syntrophobacteria; Syntrophobacterales; Syntrophobacteraceae
Description: bacterial SSU rRNA
Rfam family: Bacterial small subunit ribosomal RNA
Source: RNAcentral
UAAUACGGAGGGUCCGAGCGUUGUCCGGAAUUAUUGGGUUUAAAGGGUGCGUAGGCUGUAUGAUCAGUCAGGGGUGAAAUCUCAAGGCUUAACCUUGAAACUGCCUUUGAUACUGUCAUACUUGAAUAUACUAGGGGUAAGCGGAAUUUAUGAUGUAGCGGUGAAAUGCAUAGAUAUCAUAAAGAACACCGAUAGCGAAGGCAGCUUACUGGAGUAUUAUUGACGCUGAGGCACGAAAGCGUGGGUAGCGAACGGGAUUAGAUACCCCGGUAGUCCACGCCGUAAACGAUGUUCACUCGCUGUGUGCGAUACACUGUACGCGGCCAAGCGAAAGCAUUAAGUGAACCACCUGGGGAGUACGUUCGCAAGGAUG